AUACCUUCUCGGCCUUUUGGCUAAGAUCGAGUGUAGUAUCUGUUCUUAUCAGCUUAAUAUCUGAUACAGCACACUUGUGUGCUGAGAUAUUAUGUGAAUUUUUCACGGGGGUGGCGGGUAGCUCUGAGGCAACUCUGAGUCUGCCACACGUUGGCUGCAGAAGCUACUGGAAAGACCGCGCCCCCC
This is a non-coding RNA of Diplonema papillatum, 186 nucleotides long. NCBI's taxonomy places the organism in Eukaryota, Euglenozoa, Diplonemea, Diplonemida, Diplonemidae. The record is from the annotation of a GenBank genome assembly.